This 501-nucleotide ribosomal RNA is filed under the name uncultured marine Syndiniales. Its description in RNAcentral is "SSU rRNA". It matches the Rfam family "Eukaryotic small subunit ribosomal RNA", at positions 627 to 1134 of the family's 1831-position model. The record is from RNAcentral. Lineage: Eukaryota; Dinophyceae; Syndiniales.
CUCGUAGUUGGAAUCUGUGAGUGGGUUUCGGUACUUCCCAGUGAAGAUUACACGGAGCUCUGCUCACAUUUGUUCAGGGAGGGUGGAUGCACUUCACUGUGUGACCACAUGAUCUGAAUUUUUACUUUGAGGAAAUGAGAGUGUUCCAAGCAGGCAAUCGCCGUGAAUAUGAUAGCAUGGAAUAAUAGCACAGGACUCUUGGUUCAAUGCUGUUGGUUUGUUGAGCUUGAGUAAUCACAAUAAGGAUAGUUGGGGGUAUUCGUAUUUAACUGUCAGAGGUGAAAUUCUUGGAUUUUUUAAAGACGAACAAUUGCGAAGGCAUCUACCCAGGAUGUUUUUGUUGAUCAAGAACGAAAGUUAGGGGAUCGAAGACGAUCAGAUACCGUCCUAGUCUUAACCUUAAACUAUGCCGGCUGGAGAUUGGGGUCGUCAGAUGUGUGACGUCUUCAGCAUCCUAUGAGAAAUCUAACUCUUUGGGUUCCGGGGGGAGUAUGGUCGCAA